This 253-nucleotide ribosomal RNA is filed under the name uncultured bacterium. Its description in RNAcentral is "partial 16S ribosomal RNA". It matches the Rfam family "Bacterial small subunit ribosomal RNA", at positions 524 to 776 of the family's 1533-position model. The record is from RNAcentral.
UACGAAGGGGGCUAGCGUUGCUCGGAAUCACUGGGCGUAAAGCGCACGUAGGCGGAUUGCUAAGUCAGGGGUGAAAUCCUGGAGCUCAACUCCAGAACUGCCCUUGAUACUGGCGGUCUCGAGUCCGGGAGAGGUGAGUGGAACUGCGAGUGUAGAGGUGAAAUUCGUAGAUAUUCGCAAGAACACCAGUGGCGAAGGCGGUUCACUGGCCCGGUACUGACGCUGAGGUGCGAAAGCGUGGGGAGCAAACAGG